This 328-nucleotide long non-coding RNA is filed under the name Homo sapiens (human). RNAcentral's name for it is "HSALNT0293577". The record is from RNAcentral. Lineage: Eukaryota; Metazoa; Chordata; Mammalia; Primates; Hominidae.
CCCAGAGAAUAUGACUGACUUGCCCAAGGUCAUAAAGUUAGUAAGAGCUAGAGCUAGGUUCUAUGGAAGUCACUAUUUGCUACCACCCAGAUCCCCCUUCAGGAUUGAAGCCUUACUCCUCCAGCUGCUGAGAGUACCAUUGGCUGACAGCCCUCAGCUGUCUCCCUCUCUGCUCAUUGCCCUCUAUGACUCACUUUAUGGCAAAGGGGGUGCACCGGAAGAAAUACAGCCAAUGGUCCUAUCUCAUAUAGCACCACAUAGAAGAAUCUGGUCUGCUGGAGUGAAUGGCCUGUUGAAGGCACAGUGGAGGGACCAGCUUGAAGAUGGU